AGUGGCGGACGGGUGAGUAACGCGUGGGUAACCUGCCUUGUACUGGGGGACAACAGUUAGAAAUGACUGCUAAUACCGCAUAAGCGCACAGGACCGCAUGGUCUAGUGUGAAAAACUACCGGUGGUGUGAGAUGGACCCGCGUUUGAUUAGCUAGUUGGUGGGGUAACGGCCUACCAAGGCGACGAUCAAUAGCCGACCUGAGAGGGUGACCGGCCACAUUGGGACUGAGACACGGCCCAA
Molecule: ribosomal RNA, 241 nt
Filed under: uncultured bacterium
Lineage: Bacteria
Description: partial 16S ribosomal RNA
Rfam family: Bacterial small subunit ribosomal RNA
Source: RNAcentral